Molecule: long non-coding RNA, 2313 nt
Filed under: Mus musculus (house mouse)
Lineage: Eukaryota; Metazoa; Chordata; Mammalia; Rodentia; Muridae
Description: Ftx transcript, Xist regulator, non-protein coding
Source: RNAcentral
GCCCUCCGCCCGCCGCGUCCGCCGCCUGAAGGAAGCUUCUUUUCCCGCGCCUCGCGCGCUAGCGCGGGUGGCAGAGAAGGAAGUGACGCACCGGGAUUUUAUUGGCUGCAGACACACGCAGCAUCUUCUUGCGCUCCUCCUUGAGGUGGAUGGGCAGCUAGCUGGAGAUGACACAGGAUGAUGCGCAUCUUUCGCACGCUGGCUCCAAGAUCUCCGCUGCCAGAUGCAGCAACAAAGCUUCUUUGUACAGACAGCCCUGGACACACUUCCAGCAGCAAUUCUUCUUGCAGGAACUGGUGCAAGAACAGGAUUUAUUCGUGGCACAGGAGCAGUUGGUGUCCACUGGGAGUGGAGGCAGAAGAGAGACCAGAGCGGUGACUUCAACAGAAGUGGAGUAAAUAAAGAUGAUCACAGAACUUGGAAGCUGACGAAAUUAAUUUUGGAAAAGAGCUGGCUUGGAGCAUGACAGAAGAAUUCGAUGGAAAGAGUGCUGGGAGCCCAACUCAAGACUGAUGUGUGCUUGGCAGGCAGUCUACCCCCGAUCUCAGUCCUCCAGCCUUUCGGCCUUUUUUCCUUUUUGGAGACAGAAUUGCAUCAUAUGGCAUCCUACACAGUCCUGCCUCAGUCUCUGCAGUGCUGGGAUUGUAGGCCUAUGCCACCUAGCCUUUCUACAAUACAAACAAAUAUGAAAAGAAGAGGGACUUCUUUGGAAAGGAGUACAGGGACUAUGGAAGAGAUGAAAAGAUAAUAUUGUCAGAAAUUAUGCCGCUUUUGAAGAGAUAAACUGAACUCUUGAUUCUGUGAGGUUAUUAAAGAAUAUUAAUUUUCAAAUCACGGUAAAAUCUUGAUUCAGCAACACAUGAGGAUAAUCAUUGUGUCCAUGGAAACCUUGGGAAGCAGUUGAAAGCCUGGUCCCUCUUGCCUGGAGCAUUAACACAACGUGGCUGCAAAGUUAGUCCUUUCCCGCUACCAUCUCCUGAAUACUGGGACUAACUACACGUAUGCACGAACCUGCCCAUCUUUGCCUCUGUUAACAGCUGCCACUGUCUCUUCACGACAUGAUGGCUGACCUAGGUUGGAAGGAACAGAGCCAGUUGGCCAUGGACUGAAACUUUUGGAACUGAUUCUGAGGAGUUAAUGUUUCCAUGAAUAUCUCAGAAGGAGAUGUGGACAAACGAACAGUUAUCUCACUCCUGUAGCUGGCUGAGCUUUUUAAAGAUGGCUAUUCUGAAUUCUUCACAGAUGGCACAGUGUCAGAAUCGUGUGUGGCCUCCUGCUGCCUGAACCAUGCCGCUAAGACAGUUGCCCACUGUGCAGCUUCACACCAUCUGCAGAGAGCAACACUGCAGAGCCUUUGGGAGAGCCUUGCCAGUCGCUGAAAGCCUGGCUGACUGCCAAGCCUUGCACUGUAGACUGAAAAUUGCUCUCUUUGCUGAGCUCAGUACUAACACUUAGAUCUUCAUGGUCUCCUGGGAGACCAUGUCAGCUGCUGUUCAGUGAGAUAAAUUUGGAUCAGCUGAAGAUAUGCACUCUCUAUGCCUUCCUUGACUGUCAGCUAAACAGUGUGCACUCCUGGCUUAGUACAGCCUUGGCUGCUGAGAGCCCCAUUCCUCCCCUGUGCUCUUCAUUGUCCUCAUGAUCUGGCUUUCAUCAUCCAUUAUACUCCUAACACUGGGAGUGAAGUGUCAUUGAAGAAUGUUCAUCAGGCACUACCUCAAAGGGCUGGAGAUGAUUGGUGAAUGCUUUGAUUCUUCAUUCCUCCUAGGACACAUAUCAAGCCCCCAGAAUUUCUCUCUAUCCAGUUGCACCAGUGUGAGGAACUUGACGGUGUCAGGAAAGUGAAACUGCUUCUCUGCUCCAUAUAAAUGUCUGUGCAGAUGCAAAGCCAUGCAUUACAUGGUAGCUCACCUUUAAUCCUAGCACUCAGGAGACAGAGGCAGGAGGAUCUCUCCGAGCUCAAGGCCAGCCUGGUCUUCACAGUGAGUUCCAGGACAGCCAAGGCUACACAGGAAUCCUGUGUACAGGUCCUUGGUAUUGCACUCCUCUCUAUAAACACAACUUGCUUUUAGAAUGUGUGGUUGUUAAGUUGUUCUGUGAAGGAUGGAUAAAGGCUAGCUCACUACUACACCCGUCAGCUUGCUCCUGUCACUUCUUCUCACCUUUGAGCACUUAGCAUCCCUCUCCGUGUUGUCUUUGCUGAAAUGCUUGCUAAGGCGAAGCUCCUCUGUAGCUGUCCUCUAGCCCCAGCCAAGAUUCUUUCAAGAUUUUUCUUUGGCCUUCUGUAAUUUGAAUAUGAUGAAUGUUUUUAUUUAC